CACUCUGCAAAGUGCGAAUGAUCGCACGCCGACGGUGCAACCGGAAUCCCGGGAAUCUCUCAGGCAGAUUACAGAGGCGCA
RNAcentral lists this non-coding RNA (81 nucleotides) under pig gut metagenome. RNAcentral's name for it is "Glycine riboswitch". It matches the Rfam family "Glycine riboswitch aptamer", at positions 9 to 86 of the family's 94-position model. Rfam says of the family: This family represents the bacterial glycine riboswitch. Glycine riboswitches usually consist of two metabolite-binding aptamers domains with similar structures in tandem. The record is from RNAcentral.